Molecule: non-coding RNA, 61 nt
Organism: Pristionchus pacificus
Lineage: Eukaryota; Metazoa; Nematoda; Chromadorea; Rhabditida; Neodiplogasteridae
Source: Rfam
UCUUCAUUUCGAGCGCUCUCUCACCGGUCAGAGAGACGAGAGAUUGUGUGAAAUGAAGAGA